RNAcentral lists this unclassified non-coding RNA (912 nucleotides) under Hevea brasiliensis (rubber tree). The record is from RNAcentral. Lineage: Eukaryota; Viridiplantae; Streptophyta; Magnoliopsida; Malpighiales; Euphorbiaceae.
AAAUUGAAGUUGAGGGAGUUUUAUAUUAUAAAUUAAAGUUAAGGGAGUUUUAUGUUACAGCGUUUGAAGUUCAGGUGACAUAGAUGUAAUUUACCAGAGAGAUGCUAGUUGGCACUUCCGUGUUCAAGAAAGGAGGGUUAGCAAAAAGUUAAUAAUACAGUUUAAAACUCCGGCACAAAAUAGAUACCCACAAAAAAGGGACGUAUAAUUGAGAACAAAAUCUAAAGUGUGAUGUCAUAACUGACUCAUAAAUAUUAAAAGAAUAGGCAUUAGAAUAUGUUGGUAAAACUUGUUUUUAGUUUGGUGACACCUAAGUCAUUACAGUUUAUAGCCUUAAACCAUACAGGCUGUUCUUUUAGAGGAAUGGAAAAAUUAAAUAAAUGAGGAAAAAUCUUCACAUAGGUCGCAUAGAUCUAGGGGAGAAAACAACAUGACUGCUUCCAAGGAAAGUUUUGUUGCAUUAGGGAAUGAGUUCACUAGGUUUCUUUGGAUCAUGUACACAGGUACAUACACUAAAUGAUGAAACUAGGUCUGGGAUUAAUACUAAGAACUGCGAACAUUAUUGAGUGAAAGGAACAAAAAUUUAUUAAUCUAGGAAUAGGAAUGGAGCUAUAAAGAAACUUGAUAAACAAGAAUUACCUGAGAGCAAUCUACAAGGAGAGAUCUUGAUGUAUUUAUAGAGUAUAGUCCAUGUUUGGAUGUGAUGAUUUGAAAUAAGGAAUGGAUUUGAUUUUAGAGUAAAUCAAUUCUAAUAAAAGUUGACUUAUUGUUUACUUAAUUAGAUUCAUAAACAAAUAUUUCAUUUAUGAAUGUGGUUAAUAACUCAUUUUAAGUAUAUUUAAAGAAGAAACCUUUUCACAAGACAUUUUGAAUCCACCACUGAAACACAUAUAAAUAUAUAAAAAUAAAUUA